Molecule: ribosomal RNA, 790 nt
Filed under: uncultured bacterium
Lineage: Bacteria
Description: bacterial SSU rRNA
Rfam family: Bacterial small subunit ribosomal RNA
Source: RNAcentral
AGAGUUUGAUCCUGGCUCAGGACGAACGCUGGCGGCGUGCUUAACACAUGCAAGUCGAACGGAAAGGCCCUGCUUUUGUGGGGUGCUCGAGUGGCGAACGGGUGAGUAACACGUGAGUAACCUGCCCUUGACUUUGGGAUAACUUCAGGAAACUGGGGCUAAUACCGGAUAGGAGCUCCUGCUGCAUGGUGGGGGUUGGAAAGUUUCGGCGGUUGGGGAUGGACUCGCGGCUUAUCAGCUUGUUGGUGGGGUAGUGGCUUACCAAGGCUUUGACGGGUAGCCGGCCUGAGAGGGUGACCGGCCACAUUGGGACUGAGAUACGGCCCAGACUCCUACGGGAGGCAGCAGUGGGGAAUAUUGCACAAUGGGCGGAAGCCUGAUGCAGCAACGCCGCGUGCGGGAUGACGGCCUUCGGGUUGUAAACCGCUUUCGCCUGUGACGAAGCGUGAGUGACGGUAAUGGGUAAAGAAGCACCGGCUAACUACGUGCCAGCAGCCGCGGUGAUACGUAGGGUGCGAGCGUUGUCCGGAUUUAUUGGGCGUAAAGGGCUCGUAGGUGGUUGAUCGCGUCGGAAGUGUAAUCUUGGGGCUUAACCCUGAGCGUGCUUUCGAUACGGGUUGACUUGAGGAAGGUAGGGGAGAAUGGAAUUCCUGGUGGAGCGGUGGAAUGCGCAGAUAUCAGGAGGAACACCAGUGGCGAAGGCGGUUCUCUGGGCCUUUCCUGACGCUGAGGAGCGAAAGCGUGGGGAGCGAACAGGCUUAGAUACCCUGGUAGUCCACGCUGUAAACGG